UGGUAGUCACCCGUAAUGAUGUUGACUAGCCGUUGGGUCUCGAGACUUGUGCGCAGUUAACGGCACUAAGUCGACGCAUGCGAGUACGGCUGCAAGGCUAAAACUUCAACUGAAUUGACGGGGGCCCGCACAAGCGGUGGAGCAUGUGGUUUAAUUCGAUGCAACGCGAAGAACUUUAUUACCCUUGACAUCGUGCGAACUUGGUAGAGAUACCUUGGUGCGUUCGGGAACGCACAGACAGGUGCUGCAUGGCUGUCGUCAGCUUGUGUUGUGAAAUGUUGGGUUAAGUCCCGUAACGAGCGCAACCCUUGUCCCUAUUUGCCAGCGAUUCGGUCGGGAACUCUAGGGAGACUGCCGGUGACAAACCGGAGGAAGGUGGGGACGACGUCAAGUCAUCAUGGCCCUUACGGGUAGGGCUACACACGUGCUACAAUGGCCGGUACAAUGGGUUGCAAAGCGGCGACGUGGAGCUAAUCCCAUAAAGCCGGUCUCAGUCCGGAUCGGAGUCUGCAACUCGACUCCGUGAAGUCGGAAUCGCUAGUAAUCGUGCAUCAGAAUGGCACGGUGAAUACGUUCCCGGGCCUUGUACACACCGCCCGUCACACCAUGGGAGUGGACUGCACCAGAAGUGGUUAGCCUAACUUCGGAGGUAGACAUACA
This 660-nucleotide ribosomal RNA is filed under the name Halomonas sp. SRUMSU1. RNAcentral describes it as "bacterial SSU rRNA". It matches the Rfam family "Bacterial small subunit ribosomal RNA", at positions 788 to 1456 of the family's 1533-position model. The record is from RNAcentral. Lineage: Bacteria; Pseudomonadati; Pseudomonadota; Gammaproteobacteria; Oceanospirillales; Halomonadaceae.